ACGGCGAGUGAAGCGGGAAGAGCUCAAGCUUAAAAUCUCCGUGCAAGUUUUGCGCGGCGAAUUGUAGUCUAUAGAGGCGUGGUCAGCGUGGGCGCUUGGGGCAAGUUCCUUGGAAGAGGACAGCAUGGAGGGUGAUACUCCCGUUCAUCCCUGAGUGGCUCGUGCGUACGACCCGUUUUCUUUGAGUCGCGUUGUUUGGGAAUGCAGCGCAAAGUAGGUGGUAAAUUCCAUCUAAAGCUAAAUAUUGGUGCGAGACCGAUAGCGAACAAGUACCGUGAGGGAAAGAUGAAAAGAACUUUGAAAAGAGAGUUAAAGAGUACCUGAAACUGCUGAAAGGGAACCGAAUCGUUUCCAGUGUCUAUAAUCCGUGGCAUAUUUCAUUGGCGAGCGUUUGCGUGCGUGUGCUGUGGCAGUGGCUUUUUUGGCUGCGCCUGGCGUGUGUGCUGUGAGUGUUUGCUGGUGCCCUGUGCUGCGGUGGGACGUCAAGGUCAGUUCGUAUGCUGCGGGAAAUGGCUGCCGAGGAGGUAGGGCUUACGCUCCGCGUUUGUCUGUUAUAUCUUGGUGGACGAGUCGUCGUGGUUGGGACUGAGGUGCCUACAACGUGCUUUUGAGUGGGUUUGUGUCUCCGUGUGCGCCGUGUGCGGAUAGCUUGCUAUGCGUGUGUGGUUGUGUGUGGAUUGAUGCGGGCUUUAACUUGUCGCCGUUCGGGACGUUGACGA
Molecule: ribosomal RNA, 719 nt
Filed under: Phytophthora capsici
Lineage: Eukaryota; Oomycota; Peronosporomycetes; Peronosporales; Peronosporaceae
Description: eukaryotic LSU rRNA
Rfam family: Eukaryotic large subunit ribosomal RNA
Source: RNAcentral